AAAUUAUGAGGACGCUGCUGCUAUUGGCUUCAAUAACACUAACAGACGUCGUUCAGUCCGCGGGUUCGUUGGAGAGAUGGAGAUGAGAACUGCUUGCGCGGCAUCGUGCAUGGCAUUACGCUUAUGACGCAUGUAAGCAUGAUUUUAUCUAUGGAUGCAAAGGUGCCUAAUGUUCCUUACAGCCGUGUGCAUUUUAUCAUGUAUAGUUGUCUGUCGUAAUGUUUCGGAGUACACAGUCCCAACGAUAGGUGCACGACGGAUGAGAUGUGUUUUCGCAUGUGAUAUGCUACGUCAGGUUAUUGACCUUGCUUGGUGCGAAUGUGAACCGGUUAGGUGCAAUCAGCUUCCACGUCACGCAGUGCCCUUGGGAAGAUGAGUAUGUGUAAUGCAUCUAUAAGUGCCGCUUCUGAGGCUAGUUCUAGCAAAUGAUUGUCUACACGAUAGGUUUUCUACAGUCGCGAGAACGGGAGUCCCUACAACUUCAACUCUAGGAGAGCUCGUAGCAUUUGCAGGGAGAACGUGUCGGUUGAUUAAGUUUGACAAUCAAUAUGUUGAAUUACUGCGCAAGAGAAGGAAGUCACUAAGUUUGUUUGUGGGAGCGGAGAAACGUUCGAACCCCAAGUCUACGCAUCUAGCCUGACUCAAGCUUGAACAUCGUUUGCUUUCUGCUUCAACAUGAGUCCCGAGUGUCGACGCGUGGCGGGCGUUUUGGCGCCCGCGUGUGGAAGGACUUUGGCAUCCGGUAUGUCUAUCUAAAUACGAAGGUCGCAAAGCCGACGAGUUCAUGUGUCAAAGCCACUUUCCACGUCAGGAGCCGCCGCUGGAUGCACGUUUCGUGGAUCGUGCUGAUGAGGUUCUCCAUGGCGUCAGCUGGAGUGGCCGUACGGCGGUGUGCCGAGGUCAAAACGCUUCAAUAGCGGGGAACUCACCGCACAGUAGGCCUUCUACCUGCUCAAACAGCCCGUCCAUCUCUGGUGACACCCUGGAAAAGUGCACAUUAUAGUUCAUGUU
RNAcentral lists this long non-coding RNA (1011 nucleotides) under Volvox carteri. RNAcentral's name for it is "long non-coding RNA (VCAR_LNC003354)". Lineage: Eukaryota; Viridiplantae; Chlorophyta; Chlorophyceae; Chlamydomonadales; Volvocaceae. The record is from RNAcentral.